RNAcentral lists this ribosomal RNA (353 nucleotides) under uncultured bacterium. Its description in RNAcentral is "bacterial SSU rRNA". It matches the Rfam family "Bacterial small subunit ribosomal RNA", at positions 917 to 1270 of the family's 1533-position model. The record is from RNAcentral.
GGGCCCGCACAAGUGGUGGAGCAUGUGGUUUAAUUCGAUGCAACGCGAAGAACCUUACCAACCCUUGAAAUCUAGCGAAGUUCACAGAGAUGAGAAUGUGCCUUCGGGAACGCUAUGACAGGUGUUGCAUGGCUGUCGUCAGCUCGUGUCGUGAGAUGUAUGGUUAAGUCCAGUAACGAGCGCAACCCCUAUCCUUAUUUGCCAGCGCGUUAAGGCGGGAACUAUAGGGAGACUGCCGGGUGAAACCCGGAGGAAGGCGGGGACGAGGUCAAGUCAUCAUGGCCCUUACGUCCUGGCUACACACGUGCUACAAUGGUCGGUACAGAGAGCAGCCACUACGCGAGUAGGAGCGA